AGUGUGGCGCAUGCCACGCCUUUGAAAGAUGGUUUCGGCUAUCGCUUACAGAUGGGCCCGCGGUGCAUUAGCUAGUUGGUAGGGUAAUGGCCUACCAAGGCAACGAUGCAUAGCCGACCUGAGAGGGUGAUCGGCCACACUGGGACUGAGACACGGCCCAGACUCCUACGGGAGGCAGCAGUAGGGAAUCUUCCGCAAUGGACGAAAGUCUGACGGAGCAACGCCGCGUGUAUGAAGAAGGUUUUCGGAUCGUAA
Molecule: ribosomal RNA, 255 nt
Filed under: Listeria monocytogenes
Lineage: Bacteria; Bacillati; Bacillota; Bacilli; Caryophanales; Listeriaceae
Description: partial 16S ribosomal RNA
Rfam family: Bacterial small subunit ribosomal RNA
Source: RNAcentral